This 3893-nucleotide long non-coding RNA is filed under the name Equus asinus (donkey). RNAcentral's name for it is "lncRNA (ENSEASG00005026941.1)". Lineage: Eukaryota; Metazoa; Chordata; Mammalia; Perissodactyla; Equidae. The record is from RNAcentral.
AGUGCAAUCGGUAAGGUCUCUCCAACUCAGACACCCCUCUCUCCCAUUCUUUGCUGCAUAGGAGGGAAUGGAGGGAAGCCUGAUGGUGGAGAGUCAGGGUGAACGCAGAGAGACAUGGAGGAGACAGAGCACAAUGAGAUGGGUUAGACGCGGUAGGGAUGGUGGCUGGAGGGUCGAGGGUGUGCAGACUCGGAAAAUAGUCUGCUGACAAAGUGAUGCUGGCUCUGCAGCGGAGGAUCUUGGAGGGCCGAGGGCACAGCAUGGGGAAGGGACUUGAUUCAGCCCAGCAUAGAUUUCUCUCAAACUAGACAACCAGGUGCAACUUGUUUCAGAACCAGCCCGAGCUCUCUCUGCCUGGUCUCCAGGGAUCCCCACAGGAUAUGGGUGUGCUGAGGGAAGUGAGGAUGGAGAAAAGGAGAUGAGAGCAGUCAGAACUCUUUUAGAAGCAGUUGCCUCAGUGUCGUUAUUCCGUUGAGGUCAGGGCUGCUCCAAGGGGGCACCACACCUGAAGCCCCCUGCGUGCUGGUGAGUGGCCAGCGGCAAGACAGCCCGAGGCAAAGAGGGGCUGAGGGACUGAGGGUUGGAGGUGGAGCUAGGCAGAGGCUCAAGGAUAUGGCUGAGCACCCAGUGUCAGUGGAGCAUCUGACCCCAAGGCCUUCUGUGCUGGGGGGCCUGGGAAGUGGGAGGGAAUGGCAGGGUGUGUGUGAAAGCACCUGGAGACACUUCAAAGCCCUUGCUGUACAAACGUAAGAAGAAAAUGAUUACUGUCACCUUCGUGGCUGUCAUUACCGAUCUUGGCCUCCUGAGCCCUGUCUCUCUGUCGAGCUGGUUGGCCCCGCCCCACCAGGCAAGACGCAGAAGGCGGCAGCCCCGACGUCUGGCAGUUUGCUUUCUGGGGUUUAUUACAAAACUUUGGGCCAGAAAUUCCUCCCUUCAUGGAUCAAGCAACGGAGCUCGUCCUACUGAAGCUGGGGCUUUGGAAUCAUAGGACUUCGGUUUGAAUCCCAGAUCACCCAGUUUUUAGCUGAGGGGUUUGAGACAGUGUCUUUACAGUUGGAGACUCAUUCCCUCAUCCGUAAAAUGGAGACCAAAAUACUACCUUCCUCCUAAAGCUUGUGAGGAUUAAAUGAGAUCACCCGUGUGAAGAGCUUAGCAUGGAACCUGGUUCAUAAGGAGUUGUUACUACUAUCAAUAUUACUAUUAUCAUUAUUAGUUCCUGGCAGAACCAGACCUAGAAUCCAGGCCCUCUUACUCUAGGGAGGCUGAGUCACUUGGGCAAUGACUCAGCCACACCCACCAUGAACUCUCAAUGACUCGAGGAGAAGAAUGGCAUGGAUAAUCUAGAAAAAAUGGACAGUGGGAAAGAACUCCAGUGCUCUCAUGGAGUGCACGGAUCAUGAUUUGCUGCACUGGGGGAGCCGCUGGAUGGAUUCAUUCAUUAUAGUCUCGUCUCUGGCUGAUACUAAAUCUACUUGUUCCUGAGAGCACCUGCGGCCAUCAUGACAGGCUCAGUAUCACAGGGCCUAGUGAAAGAAACUCCCUCUGGCCAAGGACAACAGAAUAAAAACGUAACUGAGUCCCAGAUAUGCUAGUGUUUUCCACCAUUGCAUCUCUAAGAUAUCAACAGGACCUGGAAAGAUGAGAGUGAGUUCACUGUCCCCCCAUGGGCUGAGGUUGCUGGAAUGCUGGAACAGAGAGAAACUGGGAGGUUUUAGAAUGCUCUGGCUUCAGAAUGAAGGGAGCAGAGUGACGAGUGCUGCAAGCUGCAUGGAGCGGCCAAUUGAAAAAGCUAUCGAAGUCAGAACAGCACUGGAAGCGUUGACCCUGAAGAUGCAUGCCUGGAGAGAGGAUUUUUUUCUCUUUUUUUGCACUUUUUAUUGCAGUAAUGCAGGGACAUUCUGUGAGUAGAAUCCAGGGGGCCAUCAAGCCUGCGUUCAGGUGGCUGUGCGGGAAGGGGUUUUGAUCCUGUUCUGAGAAAGCUGUCUUGGGGCCCAGGCAGAGAGCACAUUACUGUGUUAGAGCCUUGAGUGGUUAAGAGAAAGUUCUUGGUUGAAUUGGGAAAGGGACCUGUAAAUAGCUGUAAAAUCCUGAACUAGCCGUGCCUCCUUCUGUGCUAGAUGCAGUCCUGGAGGCAGAGGCGCAGGCGACUCGAGGUCAAACCACUUCUGCUGCUAACUUGGGCAAAUCACACCACCUCUCUGCACCUGUCGGUGAGAGGCUUGGCCUAAAUGGUAUGUCAGCCUCUCCUAGUCUCAGUUGUCUCCCAUUUGUGGAUGCCAUUUCAGGGAUAGAGAAAUCGGAGACUAUUGAUAAAGACUGCAAAAGUGCAGAUUUGCUCAUAACAUGGAAACUCUCAGAGAGCUAGUCCCUACCAGGGAAGGAUGGAGUGGUCUGCCCUGGGCGCUAGGAAUAAGGAAGAGCAUUGUUGAUGGAGAAUUUUAAAACAAUAAUGAAACCAAGGAAAAGUCAGUCUGCUUUUUAGGAUCACCACGCAUGGACAAUUCUAAGCAAUGUCAGGAAUAAAAUACUCCUCCUCACCUGGGUGGACCACUCCCACCAUCCCCCUCCUUGGUUUGCCACUGUUUACCUGAACAAUUCUCUUUUUAUUCAGUGCUCUUUCAAUUCCUCUGACUACAAAGGGGGAGAAAUUCGCUAUGGUGUUAACUCUUUCAUUACCACCCCUUAGUGUUGAUUUGUCUCCAGUAAAGAAGAGUGAUGAGUUACUUUGAGACACAGCAGUGGACCGGAGUGCAACCAAGGAAGCAGGAACAAUAAAAAUGGAGAGAAAAGAAGAUGGAGUGAGGUGUGGAAUGUGUUGAGUAGUGGCUUAGAAAGUGAAGCCCUGAACACAUGGUCUAUGGCCAGGAUGGGGACAGCUCCCCGAAGGCCCAGGUCAGGCUGGACAUGUGGUGCCUAAGAACAGACUGCAGCUGCAUCUCCCUUCUGCUUUCUCAGAUCCCUGGCACUCUGGAGCUUUCCUUUGCGGCACUGUAGAUGCAUUUCUUAGAAGUGAUCUGCUCUGCACUCCUCAUGUCACACCACCCACCAUCCUCCUUUGGGUUGGAUUUCCUUCUCACUGUGUCCCAGUGUCUAGAAUAUGAAGGGACUUUGCCACCCCUCUGGGGACUUGCAUAUCCUGCAUUGAUGCCUCUCUUCUGUAGGCUUGGUCCCCUUGGUGCCCAACCUCCUGCUUGAUGGUGUUGCUUUGGGGUGUGUUCACAUUCUCCAAGGAGCCCUUCCCGAAAGCAGUAAAAAUAACCUGUGAUGAGGAAACUCUCAGGAACAAGCAUAUUCGGAGACUGUUUUACCUAUCUGGAAUCUUGGCAGUGAGAGAGGUUGUCAAAAGGGAGAGAAAUGGAUGAGUAUCCUUGAGCACGAGCUCAGCACUGACUUCCUUAAUUGUCUAGUCUCCUGGGAAAGAGAGAGAGAGAGAGUGAAAGGGCAAGACAGAGCGAGAGAGAGGGAAAAGAAGAGGAGGAAGAAGAAGGAGGAGGAGGAGAAGAAGAAGAAAAGAGGAGGAGGAGAGAAAAAAGAAAAGCAGAGAAGAGAGAAGAUUGACCAGAACUCUAGCACUGUGGCAUCAGAAUGGAAGUCCCUGACUGUCCAAUCCUAAGCAGUCCUCCUUUUGGUGUUAAGAAGAGGGAAGGUGGACAAAGGGGCAGGCAACAUUACCCAGUACCCAGCAGAGUUAUUCAGGAAAUCAUACUUCUGGAAGUGGAAGCUGAGAGAAGAGUCUCUGACCCUACUUAGAGCUUCAGCCUCAUCUGUCACCACAUCUCACUCUCCGUUUAUUUGAUAAACAUGUAUGGAGCUCCUUUUACGGGACAAGCAUUUUGUCAAGCACCAGAGAACAGUUGAUAUACAGCCUCUGUCUUUACGCAGCUUAUAGUCUA